UGGAGACAGGAUCCUCACCCUGGGCCAGACAGUCUGUAUUUGCACCCAAACUCUGGUGUUUGCUAUGGUUUUGUGCCUACUCAGAUGGACUCACUCCAUCUGAGGCACAUUGUGUGUGAUGUGACAGAGAUGGAGUCUGGCAGACAGCAACCCUGCUGAGCACCUCACAGCCUGCCCCUUCUUUCCUCCCAGAUCCUGUGUAUGGUACCUUCAUUCUGCUGAUCUCUGUCUGUCUUUGUGAGCCAAGGCUGUAUUUUAAUGAGCAAAGUUUUGAAUAGAGUCUUAAUACCUGUUACGGUAGAUGGUGUCCACACUGGAGGUGCCACUGAGCCCGGUGGCCCACAGGACUGGCCUCGAGUGGCUGUCUGCAUCUGCGCCCACUCCAGUGCUGCACUUGGCUGGCCACACACAUCCUUGUGUCUUAGCUGUGUCCUGGCGACCGACAGUUGAGGUGCCUUGGUGG
Molecule: long non-coding RNA, 463 nt
Filed under: Mus caroli (Ryukyu mouse)
Lineage: Eukaryota; Metazoa; Chordata; Mammalia; Rodentia; Muridae
Description: predicted gene 14286 (MGP_CAROLIEiJ_G0003295.1)
Source: RNAcentral